This 342-nucleotide long non-coding RNA is filed under the name Sorghum bicolor (sorghum). RNAcentral describes it as "long non-coding RNA (SBIC_LNC006801)". The record is from RNAcentral. Lineage: Eukaryota; Viridiplantae; Streptophyta; Magnoliopsida; Poales; Poaceae.
CUUGUAGGGCUAGUUUUAAACCAGAAUUUAUAGAAAGAUUAACAGAUUCCCUAGGUGUAGCUAAAAGUUCAUUAUCUUUUUGAUUAAAAGAUACAACCUUGGCUAUGGAAAAGGGUUGGUUUUGACCUAUUGCAAUCAACUCCGGACACAGAUCAUAAUUAGGGCAGGACUUGUUGACUCCCAUGGUCUAUGGCUGGUCUCCGAAGGUGCAAAGAAUUCAGUAAUAGGUAUGGAAUUUAAGUUAUCCAUAAAGAUAGAAAAAAUAAAAAGAUAAAAGUAUAAAAGUAUAAUACAAAAUAAUAGCAAGACUUAAAGUUAUCUCAGCAAACCGUCUUUCUCCCC